GAGUUUGAUCCUGGCUCAGAACGACCGCUGGCGGCAGGCCUAACACAUGCAAGUCGAACGCUCCCUUCGGGGGGAGUGGCGGACGGGUGAGUAACGCGUGGGAACCUGGCUCUUGGUACGGAACAACCGCGGGAAACUGCGGCUAAUACCGUAUACGCCCUGAGGGGGAAAGAUUUAUCGCCGAGGGAUGGGCCCGCGUCUGAUUAGCUAGUUGGUGAGGUAACGGCUCACCAAGGCAUCGAUCAGUAGCUGGUCUGAGAGGAUGAUCAGCCACACUGGGACUGAGACACGGCCCAGACUCCUACGGGAGGCAGCAGUGGGGAAUAUUGGACAAUGGGGGCAACCCUGAUCCAGCCAUGCCGCGUGAGUGACGAAGGCCUUAGGGUUGUAAAGCUCUUUCAGUGGUGACGAUGAUGACGGUAGCCACAGAAGAAGCCCCGGCUAACUCCGUGCCAGCAGCCGCGGUAAUACGGAGGGGGCAAGCGUUGUUCGGAAUUACUGGGCGUAAAGGGCGCGUAGGCGGUCUGUUGCGUCAGGUGUGAAAGCCCCGGGCUCAACCUGGGAGGUGCACUUGAUACGGGCA
This 583-nucleotide ribosomal RNA is filed under the name uncultured Rhodospirillaceae bacterium. RNAcentral describes it as "bacterial SSU rRNA". It matches the Rfam family "Bacterial small subunit ribosomal RNA", at positions 9 to 638 of the family's 1533-position model. Lineage: Bacteria; Pseudomonadati; Pseudomonadota; Alphaproteobacteria; Rhodospirillales; Rhodospirillaceae. The record is from RNAcentral.